UUCCCCGUCUGAUGUUCAGUUAUAGAUUUUGUGUUAGGUACGGUUCGCCAAAACCGUCCAAUUGCUUAGUACCCAAUUAAUCUAACACAGAAUUUUUAAACCGAUCUGAUGACGGGUUUUUUG
RNAcentral lists this small RNA (123 nucleotides) under Photobacterium gaetbulicola Gung47. RNAcentral's name for it is "Photobacterium sp. Gung47 MtlS RNA". It matches the Rfam family "MtlS RNA". The record is from Rfam by way of RNAcentral. Lineage: Bacteria; Pseudomonadati; Pseudomonadota; Gammaproteobacteria; Vibrionales; Vibrionaceae. RNAcentral also lists the same sequence under 1 other name.